UUCACGUCCAAGAAGUUGGGCAUCCAUCUGGUGCUUGUCCAAGGCGUGGUGGCUCCCUGAUCAGAAGGCUACAGGGAUUUAUCGAGAAGCUGCUGCUCCAGCUUCAGAAGAUCUUUUGAAGAUUUUCCAUAUCUGAUUUUUGGAGUAGAGAUUCAUGAGGAGAAGAUGAUUCAGAUCCUACUCAAGUAGAUACCGGUAGAGCCCAGGUGACUGCAUGG
This 218-nucleotide long non-coding RNA is filed under the name Elaeis guineensis (African oil palm). Its description in RNAcentral is "long non-coding RNA (EGUI_LNC048963)". Lineage: Eukaryota; Viridiplantae; Streptophyta; Magnoliopsida; Arecales; Arecaceae. The record is from RNAcentral.